This 492-nucleotide ribosomal RNA is filed under the name uncultured bacterium. RNAcentral describes it as "partial 16S ribosomal RNA". It matches the Rfam family "Bacterial small subunit ribosomal RNA", at positions 29 to 507 of the family's 1533-position model. The record is from RNAcentral.
AGUGAACGCUGGCGGCAGGCCUAACACAUGCAAGUCGAACGGUAGCACACUAAGAGCUUGCUCUUACGGGUGGCGAGUGGCGUACGGGUGAGGAAUACAUCCGAAUCUACUUUUUCGUGGGGGCCAACGUAGGGAAACUUACGCUAAUACCGCAUACGACCUACGGGUGAAAGCAGGGGAUCUUUGGACCUUGCGCGAUUGAAUGAGCCGAUGUCGGAUUAGCUAGUUGGCGGGGUAAAGGCCCACCAAGCGGACGACCCGUAGCUGGUCUGAGAGGAUGAUCGGCGACACUGGAGCGGGGACGGGGACCAUGGUACUGCGGGAGGGACCAGUGGGGAAUAUUGGACAGUGGGCGCAAGCCUGAUCCAGCCAUACCGCGUGGGUUGAGGAGGCCUUGGGGUUGUGAAGCCCUUUUGUUGGGAGAGAAAAGCAGCAGGUUAAUACCCCGCUGUUCUGACGGUACCCAAAGAAUAAGCACCGGCUAACUUCGUG